RNAcentral lists this ribosomal RNA (497 nucleotides) under uncultured bacterium. RNAcentral's name for it is "partial 16S ribosomal RNA". It matches the Rfam family "Bacterial small subunit ribosomal RNA", at positions 28 to 507 of the family's 1533-position model. The record is from RNAcentral.
GAUGAACGCUGGCGGCGUGCCUAAUACAUGCAAGUCGAGCGAACAGACGAGGAGCUUGCUCCUCUGACGUUAGCGGCGGACGGGUGAGUAACACGUGGAUAACCUACCUAUAAGACUGGGAUAACUUCGGGAAACCGGAGCUAAUACCGGAUAAUAUAUUGAACCGCAUGGUUCAAUAGUGAAAGACGGUUUUGCUGUCACUUAUAGAUGGAUCCGCGCCGCAUUAGCUAGUUGGUAAGGUAACGGCUUACCAAGGCAACGAUGCGUAGCCGACCUGAGAGGGUGAUCGGCCACAUUGGAACUGAGACAGGGUCAAGACUCCUACGGGAGGCAGCAGUAGGGAAUCUUCCGCAAUGGGCGAAAGCUUGACGGAGCAACGCCGAGUGAGUGAUGAAGGUCUUCGGAUCGUAAAACUCUGUUAUUAGGGAAGAACAAAUGUGUAAGUAACUAUGCACGUCUUGACGGUACCUAAUCAGAAAGCCACGGCUAACUACGUG